AAAAAAAAAAAAAAAAAAUGGGAAUCGAAGUGGAGACCUUGAAGACCUUAGCCGGCGGAUGGACAGUCGCCGCCAGGCGUUGCGACUACUGCAAAACGGCAGCUGCUGCUGCGUUUUGCCGAGCUGACUCCGCUUUCCUUUGUCUCAACUGCGACACCAAGAUCCACGCCGCGAAUAAGCUCGUGUCUAGACACGAGCGUGUGUGGAUGUGCGAAGUUUGCGAGCAAGCACCAGCCGCCAUUUCUUGUAAGGCUGACGCUGCCGCUCUCUGCAUCAUCUGCGAUGCAGAUAUUCACUCGGCUAACCCUCUUGCUCGUCGUCACGAACGAGUCCCCGUCGAGCCUUUCUUCGACUCAGCUGAAUCGAUUGUUAAAUCUUCACCGUUUAAUUUUCUAGUGCCCAGUGAUCAAAAUGGUGGAUACCACCAGCAAGAUGAUGAUAUGGAGGGUGUUUCUUGGCUGUUGCCGAAUCCUCCUGACCUGAAUUCGAAAUUAUGCUUCGAAAAUCCUGAAAUGAAGGCCGCCGGAGAUCUUUUUUCCCCUGAAAUGGAUCCGUUUCUUGAUAUGGAGUUUCAUAAGAGCCAUAGCGGUGCUACAGAUAGCGUAGUACCUGUACAAACCAAACCGGCUCCAAUUCCAGUCUUCAACAAGGAAAUCUGCUACGACGUCGAUUUAUGUAGAUCAAAGCUCUCUUCUUUCAACUACCCAUCUCAGUCUCUUAGCCAUAGCGUUUCUUCUUCAUCGCUUGAUGUAGGAGUGGUUCCAGACGGGAACUCUAUGUCCGAUAUAUCGUAUUCUUAUGGCCGAAACACAAGUUCUAGUACCGAUCCAGGCGGUUCUACCCCAAACCAAGCAACACAAAUAUGUGGGUUUGAUCGGGAAGCAAGGGUAAUGAGGUACAGAGAGAAGAGGAAGAAUCGGAAAUUUGAAAAGACCAUACGCUACGCUUCCCGCAAGGCAUAUGCAGAAACCAGACCCAGAAUCAAAGGCCGGUUCGCGAAACGAACUGAAAUUGAAUCCGACAUGGACCGCCUUUUUGACCAUCCCUCGUCGGUAUCUUUCAUGCCCCAAGCUCAAUACGGCGUCGUUCCGUCUUUUUGAAAAUAAAAAAAUAAAGGAGAAAUGUUUAGGGAUGGUAAUUGUUAAAAUUAUGAUUAGAAAUAGAAUAAUCCUAAGGUGGUGUUAACGAUUGAAUGUUGAUUAGGGAUGCUGGUCGUUGUAAAUUAGUGUCGUUUCUUAGUGAAUUUGCCGCCCAUUCGCGUUUUCUGUCUCGGGGCUUAUUUACUCAUCGUGUUUUUAGUAAAACCCUUUCUUCCUUCAUUUCCAAAUCAUUGUGUGUGUGUGU
This 1344-nucleotide unclassified non-coding RNA is filed under the name Hevea brasiliensis (rubber tree). The record is from RNAcentral. Lineage: Eukaryota; Viridiplantae; Streptophyta; Magnoliopsida; Malpighiales; Euphorbiaceae.